RNAcentral lists this long non-coding RNA (579 nucleotides) under Gossypium raimondii (Peruvian cotton). Its description in RNAcentral is "long non-coding RNA (GRAI_LNC010048)". The record is from RNAcentral. Lineage: Eukaryota; Viridiplantae; Streptophyta; Magnoliopsida; Malvales; Malvaceae.
UUUCAAUUUCAUAAUUAGAACCAAUGAGUUGUUAUCUGUUUGAUGAUAUUAGUUUGUAUUUGUUGUUCUUUUUCAUGUCUUUCUUUCUAUUUUCUAUUCGGAAACUUGUGCUCUACAUAGUGGCCUAGUCUGUUAUCCAAUAAAAAAAUGGUUUAAAAAAGACCUCGCAUUGACUGCAAAAUGGAUAUCCAAGUGAUGCCCAGUGCUGGGUACUAUGCAGCACGUCAAGGAUUACACCAGUUUCAAUUUGUUAACAAGUAUAUAGGAACCAUGAACCAUUGCUAGCCGCCAGCCUUGCUUGUUUCCUCACCACUCACUUGUGGCACUAGUCACUGAGCACGCUAGUCUUGACUGAAAUUUAGUAAUCCCAAUCCAAAGCAAUAAAAAUUCAAUCGGAUAGUGGAGAGAAAAGGACAAGCUCAUCUUCUUGCUUAUUUGACAUGGAUGUUCAGUUUUCUUACAAUGCCAUCUGGGUCUGUCGGAUUUGUUCAUGUCCAGUUUUUACUCACUUGUAAACUGCCCACACAGACACGUUAUGAAUAUAUCAAGUCCUUUUUUAUUUAGUGGGUUGCCGAGCAG